Molecule: long non-coding RNA, 1069 nt
Organism: Biomphalaria glabrata
Lineage: Eukaryota; Metazoa; Mollusca; Gastropoda; Planorbidae
Exons: 2
Source: RefSeq, a predicted model, not a curated record
GCGCAUCUGGUAGGGUAUUUUCGUUUGAGCACCAUAAGGUCUUAUUAGUUCUGUUUCUAAGGAUGCGCUAUAUUGGUGUCAUUGUUCUUUUGUUGUGCCUUGAGAUGAGUCUCUUUGUGUUCUCUUGGGGUGCCUUGAGAUUGAGUUAUCUGUGCGGUGUUAUUCCCCAGUAUUGGGUAUUAUACAUCCUUACAUCAUCGACAUUAGAUUGCCUACAUAAUGGAUGGCUGCUUGGUCAUGCAGUUUGCGCACUGGACUGUCAUUUGGAUUUAUUGAUGGUCCCGGGUUCAAACCCUGCCCAUUCCUAUCCACCGUCGUCCUGUGGGAGAUUUGGACUAGGAAGUAAAUUAUCUUCAACUCUGAAGGAACAUCCGAAACAUGUAAAACAUUUUACGAACAUAUUAAAUUGAACCCGGUGUAACCAGAACAACAAUGUUACCUUAUAUUGUGUGAUGUUGCCCUUGGUUUAUUUCUAGGAUGAUAAAUAGAACGCAAAAAAAACUGGGGGAUAAAAAAAAUGACUAAAAAAAAAAAAAAAAACAUUAAGCCACAUUAAUCUCUUGUAUUUUAUUAACAUUUGUAUGUAUAUGUACAGAGUUUUCAAACUUGACAAGUAGAGCCCCUAUACAGCAAACUGUAAACAAUAGUUUAUGUUUGCAAAGUAUUACACAAGUUCAACAAAUAAACACUAUUUACAUUGUAAAUUGCAAUAAAACAGGAACAUAUGUACAUUAUAAAGGAUAUAUCACCAGAUCAUUAUGAUAUUCAUAUGGGUAAAAAAAAAGGGGGGCAAGGGAAAUGAAAUGACCAUAUAUGAUCCAAUUUACUGUACAGGCACAAUGUAGAUGGUCAGAAACAAACACUUUCAUCAUAUGUACAAUCAUUGUCAAAAUUUUCAUUAUGAAAAAAAUUUUCACUCAUAGUUAAGCUUCUUAUUCAAUUCACGCAGAAUAGAAAAAUUCAACUCUCAUUCACGGACAACAAUCAAGACUCAACUGGAAAACAGAUUUGUAACUGUUUUACUCAUAACAAUCUUAUAAUUAACAAAUUAAAUCCUAAAAAAUAAACA